Molecule: ribosomal RNA, 268 nt
Filed under: uncultured bacterium
Lineage: Bacteria
Description: partial 16S ribosomal RNA
Rfam family: Bacterial small subunit ribosomal RNA
Source: RNAcentral
GUCCACGCCCUAAACGAUGUCGACUGGUUGUUGGGGGUUUGACACUCUCAGUAACGAAGCUAACGCGUGAAGUCGACCGCCUGGGGGAGUACGGCCGCAAGGUUAAAACUCAAAGGAAUUGACGGGGACCCGCACAAGCGGUGGAUUAUGUGGAUUAAUUCGAUGCAACGCGAAAAACCUUACCUACCCUUGACAUGUCCCCGAAGCCCCGGUGAGAGCCGGGGGUGCCCGAAAGGGAACGGGAACACAGGUGCUGCAUGGCUGUCGU